GUGGACAGGAAAAGUAAAUGCUUUUUAGUAGUUCAAACUAAAAUUCUGUCAUCCUUUACUCGCCCUCAUGUCAACUUGUUUUAGUGGAACACAGCAGAAUAUAUUUGGAAGAUUCAGUGCUCUUUCCCAUACAAUAGAAGUGUAUGGUGACCAAGAGCUGUGGUGACCAAGAGCAAAAAAAAAAAAAAAAAAAAAAAAAAAAAAAAGUGCCAUAAAUUUCCAUAAACGAAAAGGGCUCAUAUCACAAUUGCAAUUCUUGUAUGUUUUGUAACUUUGUAACCAGUGUUGGGGGUAACACAUUACAAGUAACUAAAGUAAUGGAAUCAGAUUACAUUUAAAGUAACUAGUAAUGAAUUACUUUUAAACUUACAACAAAAUAUCAGAGUUACUUUUCAAACAAGUAACGCAAGUUAUUUUGUUUUCCCAUGUAUUAACUGACAUCUCUCCUGUCAGUAUUCAAAAUGAAUAAAACUGUGAAAUGCAAUAAUUAAAUAUAUUAAAUUGAACAAAUAUACUUUGUUCUUAAUCUCACUUUAUUAACCAAUGUCUUUGCUGCUGACUUUCGAUGAUCCAAUUCAACCAGCAAAAAUGACUUUAGAUAAACUUCACAUUUGUGAUUUGUGAGCUUAUUCAUUCCACUUUUGGUGUGAAAGGGCAUUUAUAUUUGCCAAAAAUAUAAUUUUUGUUGUUGUUGUUAUUACUUUCCAUAAAAAGUAACUAAGUAACGCAAUAUUGUAAUGCAUUACUUUUAAAAGUCCCUUUGCCCAGCACAAUGUAACACAAUGCUUAUGAAAAUUAUUUAACCAAAUCUGUUCAUUAAUUAGAAGUGGGCUAUUUUACCUAACAUUGUUGUGUUGCGUUUUUAUGCUUAUCAGAUUGUUAGCCAAGAAACAUGAUAACAUCAAACUAUUGGUUUUGAAACAGAUUAUCAAAGUUUGAUGAAGAAGGCCUAAAGAGAGGCCAUAGAUUGUGCAGUGACAUUCCAUGUACAGAACUCAGAAUUUUCCCUUUCCCAUAGAUAGGGACGCACAAAACUAUUUCUAGCACGUAUUUGAAAUUGAACUACUCUAUUACAGAAGACUCUAUGCUUUUUCCAAAUACAACAGUUAACCAAAAGCUGUCAAGCUAAAAAACUGAACAGAAAUUAAAGUCAUCAUUUAUUAAAGUCUUGCAUUUAUCAAAUCUCAAUUGUGAUUCUUGUAUGUUUUUUUUCUAACACAGUGCUGCUUCCAUUGAGUGAAAAAGAACAGCAGGAACGUUAUUUAAAAGUGCUGAUUUUGUGUUCCAUGGAAGAAAGAAAGUCAUACGCGUAAGGACAAGAGGAAGCCUGGUACCGACCGGAGUCAAUCCCCGGGAGAAAAACAGCAGUUUGUGCGUGUGAGAACGCGUUUGAAUGAGCAACUCCUCCGAUGAUUGGGAGUGGCACAGGAAGCUGCCAACGGGAGCUUCCCCAGAAACAGUUGUUAGGCGAUCUCUUCGUUUCUAUAGGAGGAAAUGGGAAGUGUGGGCGUGGGCCUGCCAGAGGCCACUUCCAGUCUACUGCUUUGAGAGAUAUGGAAAAGGCAGACAGGUGUGGCUUCCUGGUUCCCCUUGGGACGAAAUUAUGGAGCGGAAGGGAGGGUGAUGCAGGGAUGAUAGAGAAAUUGUUGGAAUGAUUGAGGGGACCCUUUGGCUUUGUAUAUCUUUAUUUGAAGGUCAGCACAUCCCCCACAGAUGUCUCUCUCCCACUAUGCCCUGACCCUGGGAUCUGUGUGUGGAAUUCUCUCCUCAUUUAUCUGUGGGCUUCGUCCUCUCCCUGUAUCCUUUUAUUUUUUUUCACAUUCCUGAUCCUGGUACUGUUUACUUCUAAAUUACAUCAGUUUAACUCUCAGACAUGCACACAAUUUAUCUUUAAUGAAUAGUUCACCCAAAAUGAAAAUCAUGUCAUUCCAAACCUGUGUCUUUUUCUUCCAUGAAACAACAGGAGAUGUGAGUGAAAGCGAAAGAAUGGAUGGAUGAACCCCUUGUUCUAAUUGAAAAUGGCGCCACCUGGACCAGCAAAUCACACUGGGAAAUAAGCUGCAUAUCCAAGUGUUUAUCUACCGAUCUCAAGAGACAGACAGUGGCAGAUUUGAUAAUAAGUUAUCAAAUUAAAUGUCAUUUAAUGUGUCAGCAAAAAUUACAGCUCAAUCAAAUAACUGUGUAACUCCUUUAUGCUACAGACUGCACUCAAUGUGUUAAUGAAAUUGUAAUUAAAACAAUUUUUUAGACAUUGCUAAUUGUAGUAACCAUUUUUAAUGGUUCUUCUGCCUAAUGAUAAUGAAUGUUCAUAAUGUUGUUUUGUGAUGUCAAAACCAGCACUGUCCUCUUACCACUUUCUAAAAAAGAA
Molecule: long non-coding RNA, 2368 nt
Organism: Megalobrama amblycephala (Wuchang bream)
Lineage: Eukaryota; Metazoa; Chordata; Actinopteri; Cypriniformes; Xenocyprididae
Exons: 5
Source: RefSeq, a predicted model, not a curated record